This 1269-nucleotide non-coding RNA is filed under the name Lottia gigantea (owl limpet). RNAcentral's name for it is "Eukaryotic small subunit ribosomal RNA". It matches the Rfam family "Eukaryotic small subunit ribosomal RNA", at positions 1 to 1116 of the family's 1831-position model. Lineage: Eukaryota; Metazoa; Mollusca; Gastropoda; Lottiidae. The record is from Rfam by way of RNAcentral.
UAUCUGGUUGAUCCUGCCAGUGAUCAUAUGCUUGUCUCAAAGCUUAAGCCAUGCAAGUCUAAGUUCAGGCUUGUUCCUUUCGGGGAGCGAGCCGAAACUGCGAACGGCUCAUUAGUCAGAUAAGGUUCCUUGGCUAAAAGCGGGUCGGUUUUAAUGGAUAACUGUGGUAAUUCUAGAGCUAAUACAUGCAACGCACCGUGGUCCCCGUAGUCUUCUCGUCUCGGGGAAACGGCAUUUAUUCUCUGGACCAGAUCGCCCUAGCCUGCGAAGCUACCGUCAAAAGUAGCGACGGGGCGAAGCGACAAGUGUUGAAAUCCGAAUAACUGUGCCGAUCGCGGGGUCUUUCCGGGCCCCCGACGACUUUGCCAUGAAGUGUCUGUCCCAUCAAUUGGCGAUGGUCGGCGACCUGCCUACCACGGUGUUGACGGGUAACGGGGAAUCAGGGUUCGAUUCCGGAGAGGGAGCCUGCGAAACGGCUACCACCUCCAAGGAGGGCAGCAGGCGCGCAACUUACCCAAUCCCGACACGGGGAGGUAGUGACGAAAAAUAACGUGNCGGGGCCCUUUCGUGGUCGCCGCGGGCGGAAUGAGCGCAAUUUAAAAGAGUGUGCGAGGAGCUAUUGGAGGGCAAGCCUGGUGCCAGCAGCCGCGGUAAUUCCAGCUCCAAUAGCCUAUAUCGGAGUUGCUGCGGUUAAAAAGCUCGUCGUUGGAUCUCGGAGGCGGCACGGUCGGGCGCGAUACGCUGCGGGUCCGACCGGCGAUUUCUCGGCCGUCCCUAACCAGCGCGCGGGGCGAGGUGGACUUCGCGGUCCUGCCUCGUUUUUCUCCUUCACGGGAGAGAACCCGCCGCAUUUUCUGUCUACCUUGAAAAAAUUAGAGUGCUAAAGGCAGGCUAAAACCCCGAGCCUGAAUAUUUCGUGCAUGGAAUAAGCGGGGAUGCUCUUUUCCGGAGGGCGGUCCGACCGACUGGCGACGUCGCUUUCGCUGUCGGUUUCGCCGGAGAGCUAGGAUUCGAGAGGAACGGUGGGGGGCGAGCGUACCGGGCGGGGAGAGGUGAAAUUUUGUGAUCCGCUCGGGACGACUCGAAGCGAAAGCGCUGGCCCCGGACGUCUUCCUUAAUCCAGAACGAAGGUGGGUGGAGCAAAGACGAUCAGAUACCGUCGUAGUACCGACGGUAAACGCUGCCGACCGGGCCGCGGACGAGGCUCGAGAACAGCGGUUAUGGACCCGUCCGUGGCGGCUUCGGGCAACCUGAGAGUUUACGGUUCCG